RNAcentral lists this ribosomal RNA (383 nucleotides) under uncultured cyanobacterium. RNAcentral's name for it is "bacterial SSU rRNA". It matches the Rfam family "Bacterial small subunit ribosomal RNA", at positions 376 to 774 of the family's 1533-position model. Lineage: Bacteria; Bacillati; Cyanobacteriota. The record is from RNAcentral.
CGAAAGCCUGACGGAGCAACGCCGCGUGAGGGACGAAGGCCUCUGGGCUGUAAACCUCUUUUCUCAAGGAAGAAGAUAUGACGGUACUUGAGGAGUAAGCCACGGCUAAUUCCGUGCCAGCAGCCGCGGUAAUACGGGAGUGGCAAGCGUUAUCCGGAAUUAUUGGGCGUAAAGCGUCCGCAGGCGGCCUUUCAAGUCUGCUGUUAAAGCGUGGAGCUUAACUCCAUUAUGGCAGUGGAAACUGAUCGGCUUGAGUAUGGUAGGGGCAGAGGGAAUUCCCGGUGUAGCGGUGAAAUGCGUAGAUAUCGGGAAGAACACCAGUGGCGAAGGCGCUCUGCUGGGCCAUUACUGACGCUCAUGGACGAAAGCCAGGGGAGCGAAAG